RNAcentral lists this long non-coding RNA (660 nucleotides) under Chrysemys picta bellii (western painted turtle). Its description in RNAcentral is "lncRNA (ENSCPBG00000007893.1)". The record is from RNAcentral. Lineage: Eukaryota; Metazoa; Chordata; Testudines; Emydidae.
GUUGGGGCCGUAGGCUCAUUCCUGUGUGGACGGAAGGGGCCUGGGGCUUGAACCCGAGUCCCAGUUCACGUGCUGUGUAGGCGGGUACGUCGCAGCAGGGAACAGCCGGGGCCUGCGAGCGCUCUGCCCCUCCCCCCACCUCCCGCAUGGAGCAUCCCCCAGAUCCGGGGGAUUGUUCUACUGACAAGAUCUGCCAGGCAAGCUUGGAAUCUGGAAGUUCACAUUACUUAGCUAUUGUUCAGGUGAGGGUUUCAUUAAGUGAUUUUGAAGUACAGCUGAUUUUCCUAAUUAAACUUCACAUUUGAAAGACUAUUGUUGAAUCCAACAAUAAUUUAAGGCUGUUUAAAAAUGAGAACUAGAUAUUUAAUUUUACCUACAUUCUUUAGGAAGGGGCAUCACUUCCCAUCAGUCUAAACUGAUUGUAGAAGAGAGAUUGGCAACUUAGCAGUGAAUUCCAAGAAGUUGUAACUUGCCAAUGUUAGGUGUAAGUAGUCCUCUUCUUUGAUGUGGGGUUUGUUUGUUUUUUUUUUCCCCCCACACUGUGACUGACUGAACUGACAAAAUAACUUAAGUGUAGAUCAAGUACUAAGCAUCAAAGAAGGGGGGCUCUGUGUUUUUUUUAUUAUUAUUUCUUUUCCCCUGUAACAGUAGCUGCAGUGG